GGAAGCAUAACUCAAGUGGUAGAAUGCUUGUUUAGCAAACAUGAAGCUCUGAGUUCAAACUCCAGUACUGCCA
RNAcentral lists this transfer RNA (73 nucleotides) under Dipodomys ordii (Ord's kangaroo rat). It matches the Rfam family "tRNA". From Rfam's summary of the family: Transfer RNA (tRNA) molecules are approximately 80 nucleotides in length. Their secondary structure includes four short double-helical elements and three loops (D, anti-codon, and T loops). Further hydrogen bonds mediate the characteristic L-shaped molecular structure. tRNAs have two regions of fundamental functional importance: the anti-codon, which is responsible for specific mRNA codon recognition, and the 3' end, to which the tRNAs corresponding amino acid is attached (by aminoacyl-tRNA synthetases). tRNAs cope with the degeneracy of the genetic code in two manners: having more than one tRNA (with a specific anti-codon) for a particular amino acid; and 'wobble' base-pairing, i.e. permitting non-standard base-pairing at the 3rd anti-codon position. The record is from Rfam by way of RNAcentral. Lineage: Eukaryota; Metazoa; Chordata; Mammalia; Rodentia; Heteromyidae.